AUUGAACGCUGGCGGUAUGCUUAACACAUGCAAGUCGAACGCGAAAGAGGUCUUCGGACCUCUCUAGAGUGGCGCACGGGUGAGUAACGCGUAGAUAAUCUACCUCUAUAUUUGGGAUAACAGUUCGAAAGGACUGCUAAUACCGGAUACACUUAUUUGAACGCGAGUUUGAGUGAGGAAAGGUGACCUCUCCUUGGAAGUUACUGUAUAGAGAUGAGUCUGCGUACCAUUAGCUAGUAGGUAGGGUAAAGGCCUACCUAGGCUACGAUGGUUAGCGGGUCUGAGAGGAUGAUCCGCCACACUGGAACUGGAACACGGACCAGACUCCUACGGGUGGCUG
RNAcentral lists this ribosomal RNA (340 nucleotides) under uncultured Pseudomonadota bacterium. Its description in RNAcentral is "bacterial SSU rRNA". It matches the Rfam family "Bacterial small subunit ribosomal RNA", at positions 30 to 351 of the family's 1533-position model. The record is from RNAcentral. Lineage: Bacteria; Pseudomonadati; Pseudomonadota.